GACGAACGCUGGCGGCAUGCCUAACACAUGCAAGUCGAACGGUAACAGGCCCUUCGGGUGCUGACGAGUGGCGGAUGGGUGAGUAAUACUUAGGAAUCUACCCUGUAGUGGGGGACAACCCGGGGAAACUCGGGCUAAUACCGCAUACGCUCUACGGAGGAAAGCGGGGGACCGCAAGGCCUCGCGCUAUUGGAUGAGCCUAAGCCCGAUUAGCUAGUUGGUGGGGUAAUAGCCUACCAAGGCAAUGAUCGGUAGCUGGUCUGAGAGGACGACCAGCCACACUGGGACUGAGACACGGCCCAGACUCCUACGGGAGGCAGCAGUGGGGAAUCUUGCGCAAUGGGCGAAAGCCUGACGCAGCGACGCCGCGUGAGGGAUGACGGCCUCGG
This 389-nucleotide ribosomal RNA is filed under the name uncultured bacterium. RNAcentral's name for it is "bacterial SSU rRNA". It matches the Rfam family "Bacterial small subunit ribosomal RNA", at positions 28 to 420 of the family's 1533-position model. The record is from RNAcentral.